CCGCCGCCCCCGGGGCGGGGGGGGCUGCUGGCGAUGGCAGGAAACCCCAAAAGCCAGAAAAUGCAGCGCUCCGGCUCCUUGGCAGUCCAGCCCGGGGACCGGCGGAGCCAGCGCUCUGCAAAGCGUUUUUUUUUUUUUUCCCCUGCUGCUGCUUUUUGGGCCCGUGCCUUUCCUAAUUUAACUGGAACUGCGCAAGGAGGCUUGUUUUGGUCGGACUCCAGCCCUGGACAAACAAACCGGCCUCGAAGGAGGCCUCGGGUUCAGGGCCGGGCUGUAAACAGCAGCGAAUCCCCUGCUGCCAGCGGGGCAGAAAGUUCGCGCCGUGCCGGACCGCGGCUCCGGCCGGGCGCCCGCGCGCUCUGCCCGGCUCCCCGGCCCUCUCGGGCAGGCGGCGCUCGCCGCGGCCGCCCCCGCGGAGGAUGCUCGGGGCAGAGCUGCACCGCAGCGGCUCUCUUCCCCAAAACAGCUGGAGAGCCACAUCGAGGCGAGCAUGAAGCCGGAGGCGGCGCAGCUGCAGCGGGCGGCGGUGCAGAACCAGACCGCGGCGGUGCUGGAGAUGGGCAGCACCCUGCUGAACCGCACGGCCGAGCAGACCCGCAAGCUCACCGACGUGGAGGCGCAGGUGCUGAACCAGACGUCGCGCAUCGAGAUGCAGCUGCUGGAGAACUCCCUGUCCACCAGCAAGCUGGAGAAGCAGCUGCUGCUGCAGACGAACGAGAUCCACAAGCUGCAGAACAGCAACAACGUCCUCGAGAUGCGGGUGCUGGAGAUGGAGAGCAAGCACCAGGCGGAGCUGGCGGGCAUCCGCGCGGAGAAGGAGAGGCUGCAGCGCCUGCUGAGCCGGCAGAGCGGCACCAUCGAGGACCUGGAGAAGUGGCUGCAGGCGGCCAGCGCCAACGCCAGCCUGCUCCAGCGGCAGCAGCUGCAGCUCCGGGAGUCGGUGCAGAGCCUGGCGCAGCUCGUGGCGCGGGGCGCAGCCCCGCUGCCGAGGGAGGAGCAGCUCUUCCAGGACUGCGCCGAGCUCCGGCGGGCCGGCGUCCGCGCCAGCGGGGUCUACACCCUCCACAUCGCCAACCUGAGCGAGCCCAAAAAGGCGUACUGCGACAUGGAGACGGACCGAGGCGGCUGGACGGUGAUGCAGCUCCGCGCCAACGGCAGCGUCAGCUUCCAGAGGACCUGGAAGGAGUACAAGCAGGGCUUCGGCGACCCGGCGGGCGAGCACUGGCUGGGGAACGAAGCCGUGCACCUGCUGACGAGCCAGGCGCCCUACGCGCUGCGCGUGGAGCUGCUCGACUGGGAGGGCGCGCAGGCGCACGCCCGCUACGAGAGCUUCCAGCUGGGCAGCGAGCGGCAGCUCUACAGGCUGGCGCUGCAGGGCUACAGCGGCACGGCGGGGCCGCGCAGCGCCAUGGUGCUGCAGGGCGCCAGCUUCAGCACCCGCGACGCCGACCACGACAACUGCCUCUGCAAGUGCGCCCAGAUGCUCUCGGGAGGCUGGUGGUUCGACGCCUGCGGCCUCUCCAACCUCAACGGCGUCUACUACCCGGCCCGGCACAACAUCCGCAAGCUCAACGGCAUCCGCUGGCACUACUUCCAGGGGCCCAGCUACUCGCUCAAGGGCACCCGCAUGCUCAUCCGGCCGGCGGGCUUCUAGCGCGCCCGGCGGCACGGGGCGCCGCGGCGGCACGGGGCCGGCCCGCGCGCACCCCCCGCCGCGGCGCCCGGCCCCAGCGCCGGAGCCGGCAGCGCUCGGCCCCGCGUCCCCCCGGGAAGGGCCGGCUCGAAAAGCAGCUGCAAGGAGGCUUUUCGCCCCGCUGUUAUUUUUUCCUUCAGUUUAUCUCAUCCUCCAGGAAGCCGUAGGUCGGAGCCGCGGCUCCGAGCCCGUAUCCAGGGCCUCUGCCAGCUCUUUCCGACCCAGUUUCGGCACCCAGAAGCUCCCGGCUCAGCGACAGCUGCAGCGCACGGACCCGGCACAGACCCAGCGCAGAGCCGUGCAGACCUGGUGCAGAUCCGGUGCAGACCCAGCGCAGACCUGGUGCAGAUCCGGCGCAGAGCCCGUGCAGACCUGGUGCAGAUCCGGUGCAGACCCAGCGCAGACCUGGUGCAGAUCCGGCGCAGAGCCCGUGCAGACCUGGUGCAGAUCCGGUGCAGAUCCGGUGCAGACCCAGCGCAGACCUGGCGCAGAACUGAUGCAGACCCAGCACAGACCUGGCGCAGACCCGGUGCAGACCCAGCGCAGACCUGGUGCAGAUCUGGUGCAGGCCCGGCUCAGACCGGGCGCAGACGGCCCCGGGCAGAGGCGCAGGCGCCCUGGGCUCUGCGCAGAGCCCUCUCGCCGGCCCCAUCGCUGCGGAGAAGCACCCGGCACGAGGCAAAGCCGGACCCCGACACGCGGCCGGGCGCCGACAGCCGCUUUCUGCAGGGCAGCUCAGCCCCCUCCGCAGCCGAAAGGAGCCCUUGGCUCCCCUGCUGCCACCCCGUCCCGUCCCACCCCACCUCCGGAGCAGGGCUGCAUCACUGUCCUGUCACCGUGUCCCUCUCAGGCCUGUUGCCACUAGAGGUCACCAGCAGCCCACGAGGGACAUGGGUGCAUGGGUGACACUGGCCACCCCAGUAUGUCCCCGUGUCACCCCCCCGCCAGAUCCCAGCGGGGGGCACAGCAGUGCCCAGGAGCUGCGCCCGGCCCUGGCACGGGGGUGCUGCGGCGGCCGCCUGCCCCGUUUCGCCUUGCGCAUCGUCAUCCCCUGAGCAGCACCCAGAGCCCCUCGCUUCCAGGAAAGGUGCUCAGGGACCCCCGGACUGUCCCCCCACCCCAGACAGGGCCCAGCAUCAUCCUGCACACCCCCGCUGCACCUAGGGGUUGGGUGCACGAGUGCACAUGCACGUGCAUGCACCCACGGACACGUAUGCACCACGGACACGCAUGCACCACGGACACGCAUGCACCCACGGGCACGUGUGCUGGCACCGUGGGCUGGGGGGCCGGGCAGGGAGCCGCAGGGAGGGGCCGUGCCGCUGCACGCAGCUGGGCAGGGCAGCAGCACCCGGGGCCGCGCCGGCACGCGCCUCCGGCUCCUGGCACCGGCUGUGCACGCAGCAUUAAAGCAAAACUUUUCAUUUCUUUCCCUCAAAGCCGUCUCGAGGCAUUAGCUAAUUAACGCUGAUUAAAACACAUGACACAGUUGGCACCUCCAGAAA
Molecule: RNA transcript, 3198 nt
Organism: Rhea pennata
Lineage: Eukaryota; Metazoa; Chordata; Aves; Rheiformes; Rheidae
Gene: ANGPT4
Gene name: angiopoietin 4
Exons: 10
Source: RefSeq, a predicted model, not a curated record